RNAcentral lists this microRNA precursor (62 nucleotides) under Danio rerio (zebrafish). Its description in RNAcentral is "Dre-Mir-130-P4a1_pre stem-loop". The record is from RNAcentral. Lineage: Eukaryota; Metazoa; Chordata; Actinopteri; Cypriniformes; Danionidae.
ACUCUUUCCCUGUUGCACUACUGUGGGAGCUGCAGCAAAGCAGUGCAAUAAUGAAAGGGCAU